CGCGGCAAGACGGAAAGACCCCGUGAACCUUUACUAUAGCUUGACACUGAACAUUGAGCCUUGAUGUGUAGGAUAGGUGGGAGGCUUUGAAGCGUGGACGCCAGUCUGCGUGGAGCCGACCUUGAAAUACCACCCUUUAAUGUUUGAUGUUCUAACGUGGACCCGUGAUCCGGGUUGCGGACAGUGUCUGGUGGGUAGUUUGACUGGGGCGGUCUCCUCCUAAAGAGUAACGGAGGAGCACGAAGGUUGGCUAAUCCUGGUCGGACAUCAGGAGGUUAGUGCAAUGGCAUAAGCCAGCUUGACUGCGAGCGUGACGGCGCGAGCAGGUGCGAAAGCAGGUCAUAGUGAUCCGGUGGUUCUGAAUGGAAGGGCCAUCGCUCAACGGAUAAAAGGUACUCCGGGGAUAACAGGCUGAUACCGCCCAAGAGUUCAUAUCGACGGCGGUGUUUGGCACCUCGAUGUCGGCUCAUCACAUCCUGGGGCUGAAGUAGGUCCCAAGGGUAUGGCUGUUCGCCAUUUAAAGUGGUACGCGAGCUGGGUUUAGAACGUCGUGAGACAGUUCGGUCCCUAUCUGCCGUGGGCGCUGGAGAACUGAGGGGGGCUGCUCCUAGUACGAGAGGACCGGAGUGGACGCAUCACUGGUGUUCGGGUUGUCAUGCCAAUGGCACUGCCCGGUAGCUAAAUGCGGAAGAGAUAAGUGCUGAAAGCAUCUAAGCACGAAACUUGCCCCGAGAUGAGUUCUCCCUGAGACUUAGAGUCUCCUGAAGGAACGUUGAAGACGACGACGUUGAUAGGCCGGGUGUGUAAGCGCAGCGAUGCGUUGAGCUAACCGGUACUAAUGAACCGUGAG
This 850-nucleotide ribosomal RNA is filed under the name Salmonella enterica subsp. enterica serovar Newport. Its description in RNAcentral is "partial 23S ribosomal RNA". It matches the Rfam family "Bacterial large subunit ribosomal RNA", at positions 2071 to 2915 of the family's 2925-position model. Lineage: Bacteria; Pseudomonadati; Pseudomonadota; Gammaproteobacteria; Enterobacterales; Enterobacteriaceae. The record is from RNAcentral.